This 1205-nucleotide ribosomal RNA is filed under the name Enterobacter sp. Its description in RNAcentral is "bacterial SSU rRNA". It matches the Rfam family "Bacterial small subunit ribosomal RNA", at positions 33 to 1218 of the family's 1533-position model. The record is from RNAcentral. Lineage: Bacteria; Pseudomonadati; Pseudomonadota; Gammaproteobacteria; Enterobacterales; Enterobacteriaceae.
GGGCAUGGCGGCAGCUACACAUGCAAGUCGAACGGUAGCACAGAGAGCUUGCUCUCGGGUGACGAGUGGCGGACGGGUGAGUAAUGUCUGGGAAACUGCCUGAUGGAGGGGGAUAACUACUGGAAACGGUAGCUAAUACCGCAUAAUGUCGCAAGACCAAAGAGGGGGACCUUCGGGCCUCUUGCCAUCAGAUGUGCCCAGAUGGGAUUAGCUAGUAGGUGGGGUAACGGCUCACCUAGGCGACGAUCCCUAGCUGGUCUGAGAGGAUGACCAGCCACACUGGAACUGAGACACGGUCCACACUCCUACGGGAGGCAGCAGUGGGGAAUAUUGCACAAUGGGCGCAAGCCUGAUGCAGCCAUGCCGCGUGUAUGAAGAAGGCCUUCGGGUUGUAAAGUACUUUCAGCGGGGAGGAAGGUGUUGUGGUUAAUAACCACAGCAAUUGACGUUACCCGCAAAAGAAGCACCGGCUAACUCCGUGCCAGCAGCCGCGGUAAUACGGAGGGUGCAAGCGUUAAUCGGAAUUACUGGGCGUAAAGCGCACGCAGGCGGUCUGUCAAGUCUGAUGUGAAAUCCCCGGGCUCAACCUGGGAACUGCAUUCGAAACUGGCAGGCUAGAGUCUUGUAGAGGGGGGUAGAAUUCCAGGUGUAGCGGUGAAAUGCGUAGAGAUCUGGAGGAAUACCGGUGGCGAAGGCGGCCCCCUGGACAAAGACUGACGCUCAGGUGCGAAAGCGUGGGGAGCAAACAGGAUUAUAUACCCUGGUAGUCCACGCCGUAAACGAUGUCGAUUUGGAGGUUGUGCCCUUGAGGCGUGGCUUCCGGAGCUAACGCGUUAAAUCGACCGCCUGGGGGAGUACGGCCGGCAAGGUUAAAACUCAAAUGAAUUGACUGGGGGCCCGCACAAGCGGUGGAGCAUGUGGGUUUAAUUCUAUGCAACGCGGAGAACCAUACCUGGGUCUUGACAUCCACAGAACUUUCAUAAAUGGAUUGGUGUCCUUCGGGAACUGAUGAACAGGUGCUGCAAUGAUGUCGUCAGCUCGCUGCUGUGGAAAUGAUUGGAUUAAGUCCAGCAACGAACGACAACCCAUCAUCAUUGUGCAGUCGGGUUAAGGCGGGCAACUCAAGGAGAACUGACACGCAUCAACUCGGAGGAAGUGGAGGAGGACGGUCAAGUCAUCAUUGUCCUUACCGACUCGAGGGUCUA